ACUUAAAUUGAAGAGUUUGAUCAUGGCUCAGAUUGAACGCUGGCGGCAGGCCUAACACAUGCAAGUCGAGCGGUAGCACAGAGAGCUUGCUCUCGGGUGACGAGCGGCGGACGGGUGAGUAAUGUCUGGGAAACUGCCUGAUGGAGGGGGAUAACUACUGGAAACGGUAGCUAAUACCGCAUAAUGUCGCAAGACCAAAGUGGGGGACCUUCGGGCCUCAUGCCAUCAGAUGUGCCCAGAUGGGAUUAGCUAGUAGGUGGGGUAAUGGCUCACCUAGGCGACGAUCCCUAGCUGGUCUG
Molecule: ribosomal RNA, 299 nt
Filed under: Klebsiella pneumoniae
Lineage: Bacteria; Pseudomonadati; Pseudomonadota; Gammaproteobacteria; Enterobacterales; Enterobacteriaceae
Description: partial 16S ribosomal RNA
Rfam family: Bacterial small subunit ribosomal RNA
Source: RNAcentral